RNAcentral lists this ribosomal RNA (774 nucleotides) under uncultured Neocallimastigales. RNAcentral describes it as "partial large subunit ribosomal RNA". It matches the Rfam family "Eukaryotic large subunit ribosomal RNA", at positions 26 to 635 of the family's 3401-position model. The record is from RNAcentral. Lineage: Eukaryota; Fungi; Neocallimastigomycota; Neocallimastigomycetes; Neocallimastigales.
CGCAUCUGUGCAUGCAGCAUAUCAAUAAGCGGAGGAAAAGAAACUAACAAGGAUUCCCCUAGUAACGGCGAGUGAAGCGGGAAGAGCUCAAAUUUGAAAUCUUAAAGGGUUUCCCUUUACGAAUUGUAGUUUAAAGAAGUGUUUUCUGUUGAGGUUUUGUAAAAGUUCUUUGGAAUAGGACAUCAUAGAGGGUGAGAAUCCCGUAUUUGACCUUUACUUUCAACUUUGUGAUACACUUUCAAAGAGUCGGAUUGUUUGGGAAUGCAGUCCAAAAUGGAUGGUAAAUUUCAUCUAAAGCUAAAUAUUGGCGAGAGACCGAUAGCGAACAAGUACCGUGAGGGAAAGAUGAAAAGAACUUUGAAAAGAGAGUUAAACAGUACGUGAAAUUGUCAAAAGGGAAGCGUUUGACACCAGUGUUGUUUUUCUGAAAAUCAAUUAAAGAACUGUUUAUGCUAAGUUGUUUAGACUUUAUCAGCUAACUGUUUAGUUUUGAGCUUUUCUUUAAUGCACUUUUCAGUUAACAAGUCAACAUCAAUUUCUUUUGCAUGUAAAAAAGCUUGAGGAAGGUGGCUUGAGAUUCGUCUUAAGUGUUUAUAGCCUCUUGCCUAUGCAGUCGGAGAGAUUGAGGUCUGCAGCGUAGAUCCUUCGGGGCUAAAUGCAUUUGUGCUAAGUUAUAGCAUUUUAUAGACAACUUGUUGACUAUGAUUUGUCUUGUAGCUUACUCGCUUAUGUUAUUUUACCUACGCUUAGGAUGUUGAUAUGCAUGACUGAUAU